This 6224-nucleotide long non-coding RNA is filed under the name Daucus carota (carrot). Its description in RNAcentral is "long non-coding RNA (DCAR_LNC001742)". The record is from RNAcentral. Lineage: Eukaryota; Viridiplantae; Streptophyta; Magnoliopsida; Apiales; Apiaceae.
CACACACAAACACACACAGUUGGUUCAAGUUAUAUGAGAUUCUUAUCUUCUUAGUAUACUUUUUCAUUAAUUUCAUUCCACUACUUCAUUUUAUAUGUUUUUAGCUACUGUAAGUAAUGUUUUCUGUAAUUUAUGUAAUGUUUCUAGUGUCAAAGUGUUGGUUUUUUAGUGUGUUCAAAAUUGUUUGAUAUUGUGUGAUUGACUGAUUUGUUAGGUUUGUAUGUUGUUUUCUGGGUGAAAAUGAGUUUGAUGGUUUGAAUAUGAGAAGGGUUUACGGUAAUUACGUACAUUUAUUGUUUUGUAAUCGGAUUUUGUACCAUGUACCUGUCCGAUGUUCGCUUUUGGUGUAGUUUUGGAUUUUGGCAUACUAAAGUGCUGUAUGGAUUGUUACUGGGGAGGGCAGCGCUGGUUAUGGAAAUGAUUUGGAAUCUCGAGGAGUAUGUAGGGAAUGAUAUACCAGAUUAGUUGGAAUAGGGAAUGAGGUUUUCAUUCCGACCAAUUAAAAUGCUCAUUCAAUCACUAGCAAUUUAGAUUAAGGUUUGAGUUCCAGGUUAUAAAAGUUACGGGUAAGGUUGUGUGUGUGUGUUUGGGGGGGGGGGGGGGGCUUUNGACUUUCUCCAGAACAUUAUAUUAAGAAUUAUUGUCCGAAGGCAAUAAUCUGUGGUAUGAGUAUUUUCUUUAAUCUUAUGUUUAAUGUUCUAGCAUAAGUAAUUCCAACCAAGAGUUGUGCUCAGAAAACAACGUAGUCAAGACUCAAUUAGUGGACUUUUCAUAUUUUAGGUAGUCAUUAGUCAAGUAGACUUGAGCUCUUUCUCCUUAACAUCCUUUUAUUAAGUUGAAAAGUUUACUUUUGUCACUUAAAGUGAUACAUCUUGUAGAACAGAAAAUGGAUGAAGUGGUUAUUCUUCCCGAUCGCAGCUUAUAAUAUUAAUCUCAACAUAAGCUGGGUUGCUGAAAUCUGAGUACUGCUCUGGGAUUUUUCCUGUCUACUUCUAUUGUCUAGGCCCCUUUGAUUGUUUAAGUUUGCAUAAGUAGUUUCUCAUUGAGUUAUACUUGCUCCAUUUCAAAGUAGUAGUCCAAUUUGACUUUUUGUGGUCAAAUUGACCAAACUUUGACUGAAAUUUACAUGUAUUUAAUAACUAUUAAAGAGUAUAUAUAAUUUACUUUAAAAUGUAUUUUCAAUAUCAGAAAUUGUGAAAGAAGAUUUUUUUUAUUUUUUUUUGCUAAAUGAAAGAAGAAUUUUUAAUAUCAGUCAAACCAAAUUUCGUCAAUUCGACGGCAAAAAAUUAAAUUGAACUACUAAUUUGAAACGGAGGGAGUAACUAACGAGGAGAUAUUAAAAUUUAAUAUAAGAUUAUAAGUUUUAACUUAUAUGCGCUUUGUUCUUACUAAUAUUAUAUUUUUACCCUACUUAGGAACCGGGGAAUUACCUUAGGAAGCUUUCAAGCUGGUUCUGCUAAAGUGGGAAUAUCAAGCUCUUACCUAGAACAUGAUGCUGAAAUAGUUGGGCAUGCACAAGUAAUUUCUGAUCCGUUUUUAUGUUCAAUGAGUUAUCGUCAUAAGCAAUGUGAAUCACUAAAACUCUAUAUUGGAAAGCAUCAUUUGUCUUCACAUGCUGGCAUGAGGUACAGUAAAGAUGAGGAUGAUGAUCUCGGGGAUGGGUUUUCUGAGCUUGAAACUCUAGCUAGUGCUGAUGAGACCCAAGCAAGAAGUGCAUCAUGUGAAGGUACUGAUGAAUUGAUAUCUGAAUCUGAGCUUUCUGCUAGGGGCAGUGAUGACGAAGUGGCGGGAUGUAAAAAAGAGCUGGAAUUAUCAGAUAUUAAGGCUGAGAGAAGUAAGAAAAAUGUUGAACAAAAAAGUACUUCUGGCAAAUUGUUGAACGCUGUUAUAACUGCUCCAGCCUUGUCUAUUAAAAGUGUGUUGCACAAGUGGGUUGAAGAUGGAAAUGAGGUGAAAAAAUAUCAUAGAAAAAAGAUCAUUUCAUAUCUUCAGGAACGUCAGAUGUAUGGGAGGGCCUUGCAGGUUUGUUGACAGUUUGCAUAUAAUUCCUGCUUGGUUAUCCAAUAUGCCGCAUCUGUGUUGACAUACUCACUUGUUAGUCUCUUAAAAGAUAGAUAUCUUGGUCAACAACUGUAAAAAUAUAUUGUUAUGAAAACUACUACUAUAUUCUAAGCACGGUAAAAUGCGGUAUGAAAACUAUCUAUGGUAUAAGCAUGGUAUAAUCAAUUGCCCUAGGUUUCUAAUUAUCUGAGUACAUAAAUAUUUUAUCCACAUUAGUUGGUCAUUAUUAUUAGUAAAUUAACUUUUUAACAUGCAACUUUUACUUGGUAAUACAGACAAAAGCAAUGCAUAAUUGAGUAUAAGAACUUCAAACCUCGUCUUUGCCUGGUGUCCUUUUCCAAAUCAUUUAUGUACCAGUUUCUUUGAAAGUUGUAACAAUGUAAAACUUGAAAUAAAUACUUAAUUAUAUUUCUCAUACUUUAGCUUAAAUCCAAAAUCACUUUCGUUUUAAGACUUUUAAGUUGUCAUUCCGUUCAUCUGUGUUAACCUAUUCCAUUUGCAUCUCUGAGGCUAUAACAAAUUACUUGUGUCAAUAUUUAGAAGCACGCUAGACAUUUUCACUAUAAAUACUUGAAUUUUUUUUUUUUUUUUUUUUUUUUGGGGGGGGGGGGGGGGGGGGCGCUAAAAACGAACUCAUUUGUGCUUGCAACUCAUAAGACAAUUACUACAAACGAACGCUUGCCUUUUCUGUUGGAUCUCCUGUGAUCGCUUCAUUUUCCGGCAUUGUUCAUAUGUGUUUUUGGUACGCUGCAUCCUGUCUGAUGUGUCCAAGGAUCCCCUCCCCCCCCCCCCCCCCCCCAAAUGCAUUCAGCGACAUACAUAAUUCCAAUAUAGUCAAAUCUCAGUUCUUUCUCAUCAGAACAACUAUUUUACCCGAACAAGACAAGAAGACAUUCAUAUGCACAACACUCACUCAUUCAUAUGCACAACACUCACACACACACACACACACAUCUAUCUUCAGUCAGUAUGCGCUGGAUUAUGCUUUGAAUCCCUAGUGAUUAUCUCUGCCAGUUGAUAUACCUACUUGAAAUAUACUGCACUCUGACAAUGGAAUUUUGGUGGGUUCUUUUUUUUUUACUAAAUGCCCCAACAUUGGUGAAGAUUAAAAGAGUUUUUGUAUAAAACCAAACUAUAUAUUUUAACCAAAUUAUGUUGCUUUGUUUUGUCUAGGAUUCUGUGUAAAAGGUCAAGGAUCAUAUAGAAUGAUACUAAUCUGUUAGGGCUACAUAAUCUAACUAUCUGCUGUACUGUUAUACAGGUCUUAGAAUGGUCUGCGGAUCGAUAUGAAUUUUCUGAAAGAGAUUAUGCUUCUCGCCUUAAUUUGACUGCCAAAGUACAGGGCCUUGUAAAAGCAGAACAGUACAUUAAGGAGAUUCCAAAAGCUCACAGAGGAAAGGUUGUCUGCCAGACAUUUUUGGCUACUUGUGUCGUCGUCGAAAAUUUAAAGAAGGCAGAAGAAGUGUUCAACAAAAUGAAAGACUUGGGGAUUCCGCUUACAGCCUUCGCUUGUAAUCAACUGCUCUUGAUGUGUAAGAGAACUGACAAGAAGAAAAUGGCUGACAUAUUGGUCCACAUGAAGAACGAAAAUGUCAACCCCACUGCCUUCACUUAUAAUCUAUUAAUAGACACCAAAGGCCUGUACAAAGAUAUAAGUGGAAUGGAUCAAAUAGUAAAAACCAUGAAGGAAGAGGGAAUAGAGCCUGUUAAGCAGACUCUUAACAUAAUGGCAAAGCAUUACAUCUCUGCCGGGUUUAUAGAUAAAGCUGAAGCUGUUGCGAAAGAGAUGGAAGGAGGUGAUUUAAGGGAUAACCGUGAUGCUUGCAGGUAUUUGUUGGAAAUAUAUUCAUUGCUUGGGAAGGCAGACGAAGUGAAUAGAAUUUGGAAAUUUUGUGAAUCCGAUGCCAAUUAUUUUGAGUGUGUAGCUGCUAUUGAAGCUUUAGGAAGAUUAAAGAAUAUUAAAAAAGCAGAAGAAGUCUGCGAGCAGACGAGAAAAGGGUGGAGAAAGUCCUCUUCAAAGGUUUAUUCUACUCUGUUGAAAGUCUAUGUGGAUAAUAAAAUGCUGACCGAGGGAAGAGAUUUGGUGAAGCAGAUGGCAGAGAGUGGGUGCAUUAUUGGUCCACUAGUUUGGGAUGCGCUUGUCAGACUUCAUGUGGAAGCUGGUGAGGUAGAAAAAGCCGACACAAUUUUGCACGAGGCUAUUCAGCAAAAGCAGAUGAAGCCUUUCUUUUAUACAUUCAGAACAAUUAUGGAGCAGUAUUCCAAGAUGGGUGAUGUACACAAUGCAGAAAAGAUAUUCCACAGAAUGCAAGAAGCUGGUUACGUGGCCAGGUACCAGGUAUUUGGAAUUCUACUUGAAGCCUAUGUAAACGGCAAGACUCCAGCUUACGGAAUGAACCAGAGAAUGAAGGCCGAUAAUAUAGUUCCGAACCAGCGAUUAGCUGCACUGUUAGUCCAGGUAGACCCAUUCAAGAAAACCCCCGCAUCUGAACUUAUGGAUUGAAGACUAGUAGCUUACAAGUAGAAGCAGCAAUACCUAUGUCCGCUGUCCAGCCAACCCCUGUCUUUGACGCUUAUUCUUAUUAUAUAUAAUCCAGAUGUUUCAAAUAUUAUGAACUGCUCUGUGGCUAGUAUUCCCUUCUCCUGUUAGAGCAACAGGAUGUAUAUGAUUAACUACUCUGGAAUUUGUUUACUGUGUUCAGCCCCUAACUUUGUUUAAAACAACGCAGUAUUGAUGCAAUUAGGUCAAAUCGACUUUGUACAUCCAAUUAAAAGUUAAAUGACCUUCUUUCUUUCUUGUUUUUGAAGUUAAUGACCUUUUUGUUUACAUAGUUUCAUACAAACCUCAGUUUUAUGAAACAGAAUAGGAUACAUUUUAUCUGUUUUUGAAAUCUGAUAUUCAAAUACAAAUUCAAUUUCUGUCGUGAAAAAUAAUGAAUUAGAUUUCUCCAUCAGUUCAAUUUCUUUGAUGACAAAUGGUGAGUAUGAUUUUAAACGGUGAAUAUGAUUUUUCUAUUAAUUCAUCUUGUCAUAGACGUUAUACACACAUAUUUAAUGAAUUCUCAUAUUUCUAUUAUUUUUUCUUGAUAUUUAGACGGACAUACACACAUUCAUAUUAAUAAUUGAAGUUUUUUCAAAUAUAUUUUUUAAGUUAUAAUUAUUAUUGCUUAUUAGAAUGCUAGUAGUUUUAAAUGUAGCUGCAAAUAUAAAUUAUGUAUAUUUAUUAAAACAUUCAGAAAUGAUAUUUUUAUGACUUUUAUUUGAAAUUGUGUUUCUAUAAAUUUUUUAAAAAAAUUGCAAUAAUUUUACAAAAAACUUUCUGGACCUUGAUAUUAAAAAAAAAUUCUUAUUUAAAAUUCAUUAACAGGCAGAGACGUGUGUAAUUGAUAUAUUUUUAGAAGAAAUUUUUUCAUUAAAGAAAUACAUAUAUAUUCAACACGAAUUUUAUCAGAUAUAUAAAAAAAAUUGAGAAAUUUAAUUAAAGUUUAUAAUUUAUGUUAUGAAAUCUGGGGCAACAAUGCUAAAACAUGCAUUCAAUUGGGAUUUGGGGAUCAAUGGUAGUCUAAAUGCUAAAAGCAGGCAAGAAGACAUAAUAAUUAAAUGAAUCUUUAUGUAAUUAGGGUUUAUCUAUGGUUUAAAGGCUUUCUUGAAUUUGCAAUUAACACUCGCACUCAUCUUCAUUUCCGGCAGUACCACUAUGUGGGCUCUCCGUCGAUCUUCCAUUUCACUCAAGUAAGUUACACACACAGAGUUGGUUUAAGUUAUAUGAGAUUUUUACUUUCUUAGUAUACUUUUUCAUUAGAUUCAUUCGAGUACUUCAUUUAGUGUCAUUUUAUAUGUUUUUAGCUACUGUAAGUAAUGUUUUCUGUAGUUUGUGUAAUGUUUCUAGUGUAAAAGUGUUGACUUUUUUGGUGUGUUUAAAAUUGUUUUAUAUUGUGUGAUUGACUUGAUUUCUUAGGUUGGUAUUUUGUUUUCUGGGUGAAAAUGAGCUUGAUGGUUUGAAUAUGAGAAGGGUUUAUGCUAAUUACGUACAUUUAUUUUUUUGUAAUCGGGUUUUGUACCAUGUACCUGUCCGAUGUUCGCUUUUGGUGUAGUUUUGGAUUUUGGCAUACUAAAGUGCUGUAUGGAUUGUUACUGGGGAGGGCAGCGCUGGUUGGUUUCCG